ACGCCCCACACCUUUUGUUGUAGACACUAUUUGAUUUACGAUAAAAGGUGUGGGGAGUGGCAGACGAGCGAGUAAUAUGCACUUAACUUGCCCUUGAGAUGAGAACAACUAUGGAGACAUAGCUAAUUCUCAAUAUGCUCACGAUGGUGAAAUCCCAAUGUGAGGAAAGAUUUAUCGCUCAAGGAGAGGGGUGUAUCCUAUCAGGUAGUUGGUAAGGUAACGGCUUACCAAGCCUAUGACGGGUAGCCGGUUUGAGAUGAUGAUCGGCCGCGAUGGGACUGAGACACGGCCCAUACUCCUACGGGAGGCAGCAGUGGGGAAUAUUGCACAAUGGACGAAAGUCUGAUGCAGCGAUUCUGCGUGGAGGAUGAAGCAUUACGGUGUGUAAACUCCUUUUCUGGUAGAAGACGAAUGACGGUAUACCAGGAAUAAGGGACGGCUAACUAUGUGCCAGCAGCCGCGGUAAUACAUAGGUCCCAAGCGUUAUCCGGAUUUACUGGGCGUAAAGAGUCUGUAGCCUGAUGUGUAAGUCUGUUUUCAAAUACUCCGACUCAAUCGGAGAAAGGGGAUAGAUACUGCAUAUCUGGAAGUUAUUGGGGGUUAGUGGAAUUUCCGGUGGAGCGGUGAAAUGCGUUGAUAUCGGAAAGAACGCCGAAAGUGAAAACAGCUAACUACAAUAAACUUGACGGUCAAAGACGAAAGCUUGGGGAGCGAACGGGAUUAGAUACCCCGGUAGUCCAAGCUGUAAAUUAUGCAUGCUAGAUGUUUUGUCCCGA
Molecule: ribosomal RNA, 776 nt
Filed under: bacterium enrichment culture clone BD2
Lineage: Bacteria
Description: bacterial SSU rRNA
Rfam family: Bacterial small subunit ribosomal RNA
Source: RNAcentral